RNAcentral lists this long non-coding RNA (360 nucleotides) under Hordeum vulgare. RNAcentral describes it as "long non-coding RNA (HVUL_LNC020046)". The record is from RNAcentral. Lineage: Eukaryota; Viridiplantae; Streptophyta; Magnoliopsida; Poales; Poaceae.
UCCUCUCACAUUCGGUGCAUGACCAUAAAAGAUGUUACUCAUAGAAAUAGAACAACCAUUAUUCUCAGACUUAAAAGAGCAACCGUCUCGCAAUAAACAAGAUCGAGAUAUAAUGUUCAUGCUCAACGCAGGCACUAAAUAACAAUGAUUUAAGUUCAUCACUAAUCCCGAUGCUAGCUGAAGUGACACUGUGCCGACGGCGAUUGCAUCAACCUUGGAACCAUUUCCUACGCGCAUCGUCACUUCGUAUUUCGCCAGCCUUCGUCUAUUCCGCAGUUCCUGUUUCGAGUUGCAAAUGUAAGCAACAGAACCGGUAUCGAAUACCCAAGCACUACUACGAGAGCCGGUUAAGUACACAUC